Molecule: ribosomal RNA, 238 nt
Filed under: uncultured bacterium
Lineage: Bacteria
Description: partial 16S ribosomal RNA
Rfam family: Bacterial small subunit ribosomal RNA
Source: RNAcentral
UGAGGAACAUGACCUUCGGCGGGGGAUAGCCGGCCCAACGGCCGGGUAAUACCGCGUACGACCACAUGGGGACAUCCCUGAGUGGUGAAAGCAGCAAUGCGCCGAUGGAGUGCCCCGCGGCCUAUCAGCUAGUUGGUGGGGUAACGGCCUACCAAGGCAUCGACGGGUAGCUGGUCUGAGAGGACGACCAGCCACACUGGGACCGAGACACGGCCCAGACUCCUACGGGAGCAGCAGG